AUGGCAGGCCCUUUUGUUGUAAAUUUUACAUUUGUCGACAAUGACCAAGAGAAGUACUUCACAUAUAACUUACUAGACGAGACAAUCAUUUUCCAUCAUCUGUUGGAUGUCUCAGGUCAAACAAAAUCUUUCCUUUGGCUUGAGAGCUCACAAGACUGGGUGAUGACCUAUGCCCAACCCAGAGUUCAAUGUGAUGUAUUUGCUGUUUGUGGACCAUUCACAAUUUGUAAUGAUAAUACGCUUCCAUUCUGCAACUGUAUGAAAGGAUUCUCCAUAAGAUCGACUAGUGACUGGGAGCUAGAUGAUCAAACAGGCGGCUGUGUGAGAAAUACUCCAUUAGAUUGCAGUAUCAACAAAAACACAAGUGAGGAAGACAGGUUCCACCCUAUCACAUGUGUUGUAUUGCCCAAUAACGGUCACAGCACAGAAGAUGCUACAAGUGCAGAUAAAUGUGCCGAAGUUUGCCUUGGCAACUGCACUUGUGCUGCAUAUUCUUAUGGUGUCAAUGGAUGCUUUGUUUGGAAUGGUGAGAUUAUUAAUGUGAAACGGCAACAAUGUGAUGGUACUACAGAUACUAACAAAGCCACUCUUUACAUUCGCCUAGCCAACAGAGAGGUGCAAAGGUUGGAAAGCAACAGAAGACGGAUAAUCAUCGGCAUAUCAAUUGGUGCGAGUGUUGCUUUCUGCGGUUUAUUGUCACUCUUCUUGCUACUGGUGAUUAAGAGGAACAAGAGGUUGUCUGCUCAUAGAAUGGAAAACCUUCAAGGUGGUGAGGGCAUUAUUGCGUUUAGAUACGUUGAUUUGCAACGUGCAACAAAAAACUUCUCUGAGAAGCUAGGGGCAGGUGGUUUUGGUUCUGUAUUCAAGGGGCUUCUAAAUGACUCCACUGCCAUAGCAGAUAAAAGACUUGAUGGUGCUUGCCAAGGAGAGAAGCAGUUCAGAGCUGAAGUGAGGUCAAUCGGAUUCAUUCAGCAUAUCAAUCUAGUUAAUCUAAUUGGCUUUUGUACUGAGGGCGAUAGUAGGUUGCUUGUCUACGAACAGAUGCAAAACCGUUCUCUUGAUGCUCAUUUAUUUCACAACAAUGCUACAGUUUUGAAAUGGAGCGUUAGGCAUCAAAUAGCUCUUGGAGUUGCUAGAGGACUGGUCUACUUGCAUGAUAGUUGCCGGGAUUGCAUCAUACAUUGUGACAUUAAGCCAGAGAACAUACUUCUUGAUGUGUCAUUUGUUCCGAAAAUAGCAGAUUUCGGGAUGGCAAAGUUUCUCGGAAGGGAUUUUAGUCGAGUUCUCACUACAAUGAGAGGAACAAUUGGAUAUCUAGCACCUGAAUGGAUUAGCGGAACUGUUAUUACAGCAAAAGUCGAUGUCUACAGCUAUGGCAUGGUUUUGUUGAAAAUUGUAUCAGGAAAGAGGAACUCGGGUAGACAAUGUACAACCAGUGAUGAUUAUGUGUAUUUCCCUGUGCAAGUUGCAAGCAAACUACUCGAAGGGGAUGUGGAGAGUUUGGUGGACAGCAAUCUACAUGGAGAUGUCCAUUUGGAACAGGUGGAAAGAGCUUUGAAGGUUGCAUGCUGGUGUAUUCAAGAUGAUGAGUUUGAUCGACCCACAAUGGGUGAAGUAGUUCAAUAUCUUGAAGGUUUUCUUGAAGUCGACAUACCCCCAAUGCCAAGACUACUUGAAGCAAUUGCAGGGAAUCCACACUCGAAAUUUGAUGGGUACCUGGACCAAGAUUCACAAGAGGCAGGCAAACUGCAACAUACCUCAGAGCUUCAUGAAGACAGGUUGCUGCAAUGA
RNAcentral lists this ribosomal RNA (1791 nucleotides) under Triticum aestivum (bread wheat). RNAcentral's name for it is "partial small subunit ribosomal RNA". The record is from RNAcentral. Lineage: Eukaryota; Viridiplantae; Streptophyta; Magnoliopsida; Poales; Poaceae.